UACCAGCACCCCGAGUGGUCGGGACGUUUAUUGGGCCUAAAGCAUCCGUAGCCGGUUCUACAAGUCUUCCGUUAAAUCCAACUGCUUAACAGGUGGGCUGCGGAAGAUACUAUAGAGCUAGGAGGCGGGAGAGGCAAGCGGUACUCGAUGGGUAGGGGUAAAAUCCGUUGAUCCAUUGAAGACCACCAGUGGCGAAGGCGGCUUGCCAGAACGCGUUCGACGGUGAGGGAUGAAAGCUGGGGGAGCAAACCGG
This 253-nucleotide ribosomal RNA is filed under the name uncultured bacterium. RNAcentral's name for it is "partial 16S ribosomal RNA". It matches the Rfam family "Archaeal small subunit ribosomal RNA", at positions 474 to 727 of the family's 1478-position model. The record is from RNAcentral.